RNAcentral lists this long non-coding RNA (549 nucleotides) under Carassius auratus (goldfish). Its description in RNAcentral is "lncRNA (ENSCARG00000050465.1)". Lineage: Eukaryota; Metazoa; Chordata; Actinopteri; Cypriniformes; Cyprinidae. The record is from RNAcentral.
GCUCGUGGUUAGUGUGCCGGAGAUAUGCUCCUCAGGACUGGGGUCUGAUCGUCUGUGAGCACCGGCACACCUGUGGCUUUCCUGUCUUACAUCACAUAUAGGGACAGGCCAGCUACUGAUGGUGGAUCUCAGACAUGCAUGUGAUCACUAGAAAGUUUAACCGGGGGUGUACCUCUGGGCCUAUAAAUGAGACUAAAAUGGUGGAAGAGAAGAAAAGACAAGAGGAUGAAAGCCAUCUACAAUGCUCUACCCUGGGGAAAUAAGCACAGGCCAUUUUGAAUUGGUGAAAGACUAAGACCCAGCUCAAGCACUCCACUGGUGUGAAAACUUCUCCAUUGGAGACUUAACCUGCAAAUGUAUUAGUUAUGGUCAGCGGGUUUAAUAAGGGGCUGACAUAUUAGUGCAGAACACCCCAACUCAUGUGAAAUAAUUCUCUGGACCAGAGACUGGAAGUUUUUAUCCCUUGGCUGAAGGGAAAGGGUUUAUUACCCUGUUAAAUACUGUGAGGCUCCAUCCAGCCUAGUUCAGACUCAAGUGGCACCCCAAGCU